GAUGAACGCUAGCGGCAGGCUUAACACAUGCAAGUCGAGGGGUAGGUUACUUCGGUAAUUGAGACCGGCGCACGGGUGCGUAACGCGUAUACAAUCUACCUUUUACAGAGGGAUAGCCCAGAGAAAUUUGGAUUAAUACCUCAUAGUAUUUUUGAAUCGCAUGAUUUGAUUAUUAAAGUUCCAACGGUAAAAGAUGAGUAUGCGUCCCAUUAGCUAGAUGGUAAGGUAACGGCUUACCAUGGCUACGAUGGGUAGGGUCCUGAGAGGGAGAUCCCCCCACACUGGUACUGAGACACGGACCAGACUCCUACGGGAGGCAGCAGUGAGGAAUAUUGGACAAUGGGCGCAAGCCUGAUCCAGCCAUGCCGCGUGCAGGAAGAAGGUCCUAUGGAUUGUAAACUGCUUUAUACAGGAAGAAACACUACUUCGUGAAGUAGCUUGACGGUACUGUAAGAAUAAGGAUCGGCUAACUCCGUGCCAGCAGCCGCGGUAAAGUCGUACG
This 502-nucleotide ribosomal RNA is filed under the name uncultured bacterium. RNAcentral describes it as "bacterial SSU rRNA". It matches the Rfam family "Bacterial small subunit ribosomal RNA", at positions 28 to 531 of the family's 1533-position model. The record is from RNAcentral.